This is a long non-coding RNA of Rhododendron vialii, 280 nucleotides long. RefSeq lists it as uncharacterized. The transcript is spliced from 2 exons. Lineage: Eukaryota; Viridiplantae; Streptophyta; Magnoliopsida; Ericales; Ericaceae. The record is from RefSeq and is a predicted model, not a curated record.
UCCAGUUGGAUCUCAGUAGCAUCUGGAGGAUCCAUGCCGUCUGAAAAUCUUUGAAUACCCAAAAUCCCGCGUACGCAUUGAGGGUAAAGCUUAAAGGUACUUUUCCCGCUCUCUUUCGUAGUGCAAAUGGCGAACGUCGCCUCCCAAAUGAAAAACUAGGGCGGCAUCUCAGCUUCCUCAGAAAAAAACCCAUCAAAAUCAAGACAUGGAGAUACACUUGAAGAAAAAACCAAAGAUAGAAAUAUCACCCCCUCAACAAAGCAAUGACAAUUCUUCUUCC